AAGUCGUAACAAGGUUUCCGUAGGUGAACCUGCGGAAGGAUCAUUAUUGAAUAUUUGAAGAGGUUGUUGCUGGUCUCUAUUGGGAUAUUGUGCACGCCUCGUUCAAAAAUCCAACCUUUACACCCCUGUGCAUCAUUUGUAGGGUCGCGGCCGUCAGGUCUGCGCUCUAUGUUUAUCACAAACUCUGUAGUAUGUGUAGAAUGACAUUGCGUAUAACGCAUCUAUAUACAACUUUCAGCAACGGAUCUCUUGGCUCUC
RNAcentral lists this unclassified non-coding RNA (258 nucleotides) under air metagenome. RNAcentral describes it as "partial contains small subunit ribosomal RNA, internal transcribed spacer 1, and 5.8S ribosomal RNA". The stretch from base 1 to 46 matches the Rfam family "Eukaryotic small subunit ribosomal RNA", at positions 1786 to 1831 of the family's 1831-position model. The record is from RNAcentral.